AGCAGCCGCGGUAAUUCCAGCUCCAAUAGCGUAUAUUAAAGUUGUUGCAGUUAAAAAGCUCGUAGUUGAAUUUCGGGGUUAGCAGGUCGGUCGUGCCAUUGGUAUGAACUGGUCUCGCUGAUCCCUCCCUCUUGACGAACUGUGAUGCCAUUAAUUUGGUGUCGCAGGGAAUCAGGACUGUUACUUUGAGAAAAUUAGAGUGUUUAAAGCAGGCUCACGCUUGAAUACAUUAGCAUGGAAUAAUGAAAUAGGACGUUUGAUCCUAUUUUGUUGGCUUCUAGGAUUGACGUAAUGAUUAAUAGGGAUAGUUGGGGGCAUUAGUAUUCAAUUGUCAGAGGUGAAAUUCUUGGAUUUAUUGAAGACUAACUACUGCGAAAGCAUUUGCCAAGGAUGUUUUCAUUAAUCAAGAACGAAAGUUAGGGGAUCGAAGACGAUCAGAUACCGUCGUAGUCUUAAACC
RNAcentral lists this unclassified non-coding RNA (459 nucleotides) under uncultured Glomus. Its description in RNAcentral is "SSU rRNA". It matches the Rfam family "Eukaryotic small subunit ribosomal RNA", at positions 569 to 1031 of the family's 1831-position model. Lineage: Eukaryota; Fungi; Glomeromycota; Glomeromycetes; Glomerales; Glomeraceae. The record is from RNAcentral.